Molecule: ribosomal RNA, 430 nt
Filed under: uncultured bacterium
Lineage: Bacteria
Description: bacterial SSU rRNA
Rfam family: Bacterial small subunit ribosomal RNA
Source: RNAcentral
UGGGGAAUAUUGCGCAAUGGGGGAAACCCUGACGCAGCAACGCCGCGUGAGUGACGAAGGCCUUCGGGUCGUAAAGCUCUGUCGGAGGGAAAGAAACUAUUCGGCGCUAAUAUCGCCGGAUAUUGACGGUACCCUCAAAGGAAGCACCGGCUAACUCCGUGCCAGCAGCCGCGGUAAUACGGAGGGUGCAAGCGUUGUUCGGAAUUACUGGGCGUAAAGCGCGUGUAGGCGGCUUAUUAUGUCAGGUGUGAAAGCCCUCGGCCUAACCGAGGAAGUGCGCCUGAAACUGAUGAGCUUGAGUACGAGAGAGGAGGACGGAAUUCCCAGUGUAGAGGUGAAAUUCGUAGAUAUUGGGAGGAACACCGGUGGCGAAAGCGGUUCUCUGGAUCGAUACUGACGCUAAGACGCGAAAGCGUGGGGAGCAAACAGG